AUUACUGUACCCUCCCGGCAGCCUCCGGCAGAACACGCAGCAGCAGCAGCAGUUAGCGCUGAUGCAACUAUCGUUGCUGUUGCCACCGCCUCCCCACUGACGGGGCGUGCACCUGGGGGGUACUUGCAGUUUCCAGGGGCAACAAGCAUCUCUCUACCACCCUCUCCUGCGCCCCUGAGAGAGGCUGGUAGGUAGCAUCUUCUUCGGGCCUCCUCUAUCCACUCAGAAAGUGAUGAAGCGGAGGGGCUCCAAACGUUUGGGCUGCUCAAAAGUGGGGUUUGGGAUGCCGGUCUCAAUCGCACGCUGAGAUGCCGUUUUGCCGAAAACUAAAUGUGUCUUUAAGUGAGAGAGUGUGUAUGUUUGAAAGAGAGUGCGCGCGGUUGUGGCUGGUCCUCUGUAAUAGAACAAGACUGAAAUAACCCAGCCUGGGAUGAGGAGAAGGGAAAUUGCUAGCGCAGCUUUGCAUUUGCUCAUCAACGAUUAUAGUUAAUUGCUAAUUGCACAAAAUGAUAGUUUGAGGGCCUGUAAUUAAAAGCUUAACCUUUUCUUGUUUGGAAGAGAGGGGCCCCAUACGUUUAUUCCUCUUGAUAUACUUUGUAACAUUCAAUUACAAGAAUCGAGGAAAGAAUAAAGGAAGCAAAGACAAGACUCCUAGAAAGGGUUGGUUCUUCUUUUGUGCCUGACAGUACCUGAGUCUAUAAUUUGCUUUUUGUGUACUUCAGUUUUCUUGCACACUUAGCCCUGGUUGAGGUGCAUUGUCUGCUGUGGUCUGUUGAGCAUCUAACCAGAGUGGGAGGGCACAUCGAGCGAUUUCACUUUCUUAAAUAAAAGGUUUUUGGUAUUUUGAAAAAGUUGUUUUUAUCUUAAUUCAAACUUGGAAGGUUUCAAUAAUAUCAUAUUCUGACUCUAUUCUGUUGGUGAUCUGAAGAGCAGCGGGCACUGCCUCACUGUCUUCUCCUUGCCCUGGUUCUCCUGGAAAUUUGUCAAGGCUAGCAAUCAGAGGAGAUGUUUAUUAGGAACUUACUAUAUCCAGGAGACACACAGGAGAGGAAAAUUCCAGUCAGGAUAGGUUUCUGUGGGCCAAAGAUAUCCUGAUUGUGACUGCUAAGCAUGAAAGGGCUUAACUCUACGUAUGGAUGGUAUCUUGCACUAUAGCUCAUUUUGAAUGCUAUUUUGCCCACCCUGUGGUUACAUAGUUGAUACAAACUGCAGCAGCCACACAGGUUGCAUGUGAAACAACUGAAAUUUGUUUGUAUGACAUUUAGUAGUGAAGAUGCAUGCCGGUGUUAUUCACCUAAUGGCAUUGAGAUGUGAUAGGAAAACCUUAGUGCAUGAUGUCUUUCAUAUUCUCAGGGUUCUGAAAUGCCAUCUGAUGAGCUACUGCUUUACAGAAGAGGAAAGGAGUAGAAGGGAUGGGUGGAAUCAAUACAAAAAGAGGCAGCAUUAAUAAACAGUCAUAUGACUUGUUUUUAAUACUUUACUCAGAGAUACAGGUAUACUACAAGCUAUACAUUGAUAUGGUAUAAUAAGACUUAACUUUGAAAAACGUGUGUGAGUACUUUCUAAUUCUCCAAGGGAUAUAAAUAAACUUUCAGUGAACUUAGCUGCAGCUCUGUAUUCAAUCCUGUAGCUUUUUUGUUGACUCAAAAGAAAGCAUAACUUUUGGCUCCAUCUCUGAUUGACUGUGUAACUUGGGAAAAAUCACUGUGCCUCUCUGUGUCUGCCUUUUGGCCUGUAAACUGAAAAGAAAGCCAAGCCACAUUAUAUCAAAGUGCUCCGUGGCCUCAAGGACCAGCUCUCUGCAAGGUGUUGUUUAUUAGAAGAAAAAGGUUGUAUGGAGAAAUUCAUUGGAUUAUGAUAGAAAGUAGCUAAUAACUAAAAAGAUAAAUUGAUGAUAAGUGGAUAUUGAAGUGGUUGAACUAACAGAGCUAAUUGAUCAUAAGUGGAGACUGAAAUGGUUGAACUAACUGGGUUCAGAGAAGUUGACACUGCUGGAUUCCCGACGCCGUCAGGUAAAUGCAGAGGCAAUCCCAUUCACUCCUACAAUCCACCACAUUCAUUUAUUUGUUGAAGCAACACAUAGUGAGCAUCCCUGGCUAACGGGCACUGUGCAAAGUAGUGGGCAUACAGAAGUGCUUAUCUAGGAAGCUCAGCAUCUGGUAGGGGAGGCAGGCAAGUGGGCAACUGUAGUACCCUAUGUAUAGCACUCUGAUUAAGAGAUGCUUAAAGUGCUAGAAGAUUGCAAGGAAGAAGCAGCUAUUCUGGCUGCAGGAUGAAGGUAUCAGAAAAGGCUUCACAGAGCGUUUGUCUCUGAGCUUUUUUCAUAAUUUUUACCCGGUGAUCUGAAUUCUCCCUACUUCUGGACACAUGGUAGGAUUGGACGUCCUGGCCCCCUUAUGGUUGGAUGGGGUCGAAAGACUAACUUUGGCUAAUUAUUUGUGAGCCUAAGUUACAGGGUGCCACUUUCAGACCGGAGCACUUAAUUGCUUAUGUGAAACCCUCUCUUUGUGUCUGCGUGGUGACAAGAAAUGUUUAAGAGGUGGCUGCUGCAUUAGCCCAGGUCUCCGAGUGAUUCGAUUCAUUUAGAACUACCCAUGUGAGUAGUUCCCUGCUGUCUAUGUGUCUUUAGCACUGGUCACAUAGAGUAGAGGUUAGCAAACUAGGGCUCAUGGGCCAAGUCUAGCCAGUCACCUGCUUUUGUAUGGCCUACAAAUAAGAGUGAUCUUUACAUUUAAAAAGAGUUUUACAAAGAAGAGGAAUAGUGUGCAACAGAGACUGUAUGUUGCUCCCAAAGCCUAAAAUAUUUACCAUCUAGUCCUUUAGAAAAAAAAAAAAAUCAAACAAACUUGCCAACCCCUAACAUAGAACGGGUGAGAGAGUAGUAAAUCUUUGUCAUCUUCAUCUACUGAGAUUUUGUUACCUCAGCAUAACCUAGUGUUAACCUGACUGAUACACCAGGGGAAGAGGGAAGGAAAACCAUGGUGAGCAGAGGGCACAAAGGCAAAACAGCAGUAUCUAUUCAAGGCAAUGGAAGGGAUUCAGGGUGAUUCAAGGGUGGGGUUCAAAUGGACUAACAAUGUGAAGUAAGGCUGAAGAAGAAAGGCAAGGACUGGAUUAGCUGGAGUCUAGGAUGUCAUGCUAAGGCUUUGGAUUUUAUCCUGUGAACCAUAGUAAGGACUUGUGAUAGAUUUUGAUCAGAGGCCUGACAUCCAGUUUCUUUUACUGUGACAAUGGUAUGGAAAGCAACUUGUUUAGGGUGUGGGAUAGGGUCAGACUAGAGGAAGAAACAUUAGUUAGAGGCCCCAGUAGUGAGGGAGUGCAUUGAAGAAAGUAGAGGAGGCUGGGUGUGGUAGCUCACACCUGUAAUACCAACACUUUGAGAGGCCGAGGCAGGCAGAUCACCUGAGCUCAGGAGUUCAAGACCAGCCUGGGCAUCAUGGCAAAACCCCACAAAAAAUACAAAAAACUAGCUGGACGUGGUGGUGCGCACCUAUAGACUCAGCUACUGGGGGUGGAGGGGGGCCUGAGGCAAGAGAAUUGCUUGAGGCCUGGAGGGUGAGGCUGCAGUGAGCUGUGAUCAUGCCAUUGUACUGCUGCCUGGGUGAUUCAGGGAGCCGUGUCUCAAAAAAAAUAAUAAUAAAAAUAAGGGGAAGAAACUACCGUUUGAUUAGUCAGAAGCAUUCAAAUAAUUCCUCCAUGAGAUUUUUCUCCUUGAUUUUUUUGGCUUUAUCUCCUUGAAGCAUUUUCCAAACAUAUAUAAUCCCUGUGUAUCACUGGCUAUGUCUGCUAAAAGUACAGAUUCUCAGGCCCCUCCGUUGAUGAUCCUGAUUCAAUUGGUCUAGGGUAGAACCCAGGAAUCUGUAUAUGUAACCCUAUUCUAGUUGAUUCUUAGGAUUAGUCAUGAUUAAGAAACUGUUUUAGAGAAUGACUUCUUCAGUGCCGUUUAAUUGCUAAGUAGGUUUACUUCUGUCAUAUUUGUGUAAAUUAAUUUGUCAAAUUUCUCCUAAGGGAGUAGGUUAGGACCCAUAGAAAAUGCUAAGGUUGAUGCUUAUCAUUAUUUUUCUUCAAGAUCCUUAGACUGAUAAUAUUGGCAUCUGAAAUAAUCUUCAAACCAAUUUGCUAAUUUGUAGUACUCAUCACUGUGAUUUCUACCCCACAGCCUCAGCAUAGAAAGUAAGAUGUGAAAUGAGCUGUCCUCUUCUGGGGCCAUCCCCUUCUGAAGUGUUUCGAUGGUAACUUCACAGGCCUCCAUUCCAUUAUUUUCUAAUUGUGUGACAGCCCAGGGAAAUGAGUGGGAUUCCCCCCUUCUAGGCUCCAUGAGUAGGACCUGAUGGUCAAAAUCAGUGGGUCAUGCAUUUUAGCUUCCAUCAGAAUCACUUGGAAGGCUUGUUAAAACAUAGAUUGCUGGGCCCCACCUCCAGAGUUUCUGGAUCAGUAGGCCCAAGAAUUUGCAUUUUUAGUAAGUUCCCAGAUGAUGUUAAUGCCACUGGUCAGGGAGCAUACUUUGAGAACCACUGUUCUGAACCCAUUGACAUCACUUCCCCCCUUAGCUACUGUAAUUGGUUUAAGGGCCUCAGCCAGUCAACCUAUGACCUUCCUCUGUUGGCAUUGAUUGGAUGCUUCAGCCUUAGGCACAUUACAAAAGCUAGCUCAGUUACGACGAAGCUCAGGGCUUUUGCUUGGCUAGAAAGGCAUUAUCUUCUAAGUAAUGAGAUGUGUGGACGUAAGGCCAGAACUGCUUCUGCCAUUUUGCCACCCUGAAGGAAGCCAGUUGGAAGACGAAACUGACUUAUGGAGAAGAGGAAACUGAAAUAAAUGGCACUCAUAUUUGUAAGCCCAAGCCCAGAUCAGCUUGUUUCAAAAGCUGCCAUUCCAUCGGACUUCUUGUUUACCUGCACCAAAAAAUUCCCUUUGUUGCUGAAGUCGGUUUAGAUUGCGUUUUCUCUUACUUGCUACCUAAAUGACAGAGGUGCCCUCUUGAGGGAUGGAAUGUGCUUACCUGAAAGCAAUAGGCAAAACUCUGCACAUGGCUAACCCCUCCUGGAGGGCAUUCAGAAGAGGAAUACAGGUAUUAGUAAGGACAGUUUUGAACAACUGUAUUCUUGUGUAACCUGGCCAGAUGAAUUCCCCACUCUAAAUCAGGGGUUAAUGUGGACGUAUUAUAAGUGAAUGCCGAUUGAGGGUUACAAUCUGGUAACGACAAGGUUUUUGAAAUUCCAAGGCCAAAGACAAUUUUACACACUGCUUUUGAACAAUUUCAGAAAGUAAAAAAUGUGGCCAAAUGUAAAAACAGUGGAAAUUCCAAAAUGGGUUGAAUAUGAGGCUAGACAAAUGAUUAUUAACUGGAAGCAAUUGUAGACCCAAUCAAUGUUCGUCAAUGUCUUGAGACAUUUUUCACUGUCAUGCCUGGGGAGAGGUACUCCUGGGAGAUGUACCCUCUACUGGGUAGAGGCCAGGGAUGCUGCUGAACAUCCUACAGUGCACAGGACUGGGCCCCACAAUGAGUUAUUCAGUCUAAAAUGUCAAUGGUGCCACAGUUGAGACAUUCUGAGCUAGACUUAGGAGAAGUCAGAUGGCUCUGUAUGCGCGAGAUUUUUAUCUGGGUUGGGUGGAAGGAGAUUACUUAGGACUUGGGCGGCCUAGUAGAAAGAUGUUCUAUCUCACGACAGAGCAAGGACAAGCUGGGUUUUGUCCGGUCAAUGACAGAUGUGAAUGCAGUGUCAGAGGAGGUUGUGGGUGGAUUUACAGAACGGGGAGAUGUAAAGCAAAACACAUGUAGUUUACAUUUUAAGUUGAAAUAGGUCAGUGUAGGGCACAUUCUAGGCUGCAUUGUGAACUCACCAGGGUUCUUUGUUUUGUAGCGUUGAGUUUUGUUUCCUUUGGUUUACAAUGCAGGAAUGAAAUACUGUACCACUUAUUUUUGGAAGCCCUGAUAAUUAAUUCCUACGACUCUGGCCCCAAAUUUGAUUGUUCUCACUUGUCAUAAAUGUAAUUUAUAGGAGGUUUUGGAAUAUAGGGCUAUAGCAUUUAAAACACUCUUACAAUGGGAGUUUCUAUGGAAAUAGAGGCAUUGUGGCCUCUACCGAGUUAGUUAAGCAUAGAUUGCUUAUUAGAACAUAAGAAUUUUAAUCUGCAAGUUAGAGUAAUGAAGCAAGUUCUUUAAGUAUUACCAUUUCACCAUGAUAUUUCGUUUUUGAACUUUUAAGAGUUUUGUGGAAGUAGAUAGUUGAUUUAUUUAAUGUUUUCUUACUUAGUUAUGUAAGGAGGUUUAAAUUCAUAUUAUACUGCUGCUCACAUUCCUUGAAGGGCUGAGUUUCUGAAUGAAUAUGCUUCCUUCCAGCCUGGCUAUUUGGGAGGGUUAUGUCCUAGCAUCUCUAUAUUGUUUUGGAAACACAUUUAUGAGGAGUUCUAAUGCUGAUAAUGACCAUGUCUGCAGAGUGGAGGGGAGGCCCAGUUUUUGAGCCUGGCUUUAGGGUUAUACGGUACAUGUAAAAACUGCAAGUAACUCAGAAUUUUUGGAGGACAGAUUCCAGAGGAGAUACUGGAGAGGAAGGCAAGUACAAUUAAGGAAGGCAUUUGUAUAUUGUUUGUUUGUUUAUCCGCAAAGCAUUUAGUAAGCCAUUGAAGGUUUUUGAUCAAGAGAUGAUUUGUUUGGAUAUGAGUAUUUAUGAAUAUGACUAUCUGAAAAGGUGAUUAUGGCUGUAUGGGAUCCAGAGGGCAUUCUUGUGGUACCUGAAAGCCUUUGUGUGUUGAAUGAAUGCAGAGAGGCAGUAUUGGUUAAUGGUUAAGAGAGUGGGUGCUGGAGUGAGUCUUCCUCAGUUCAAAGCCUGGCUCUGACCCUGUGAAAUCUUAGGCAAAUUAUUUAGCCUCUCUUUAUGCCUUAGUUUUUUCAUCUGAAAAAUGGGGGUGGGAAGAACACCCACUUCUUAUGAGGGUUGGAUACAUUUAUAAUAAAGCAUUUAGAACAGUGCCUGGCAUAUAAUAAAUCAGCAGCUUCAAUGUAUAAGAGAGGCAAUUACAGGUAUGGGCCUAGGAUUUGAACAACGUAAGACUGUGGUCCUCAACCCUGAUGGUACAUUAAAGUCUCCUGGAGAGCUUUUAAGAAUAUCAACACAGGAACAACUCUAUCUAGGCCAACUGAAUAACAUGUCUGGAGUGGGGCCUGGGCACGAGCAGUUUUUAGCUUUCCAGGUGAGUCUAAUGUGCAUUCUAACUGUGACUCACUCGGUGUCAAGCCUGAAGCUGUGGCCACUGGGGUAUAGAAGGGGAGCUGUGUGGUAGGUUUUGAAUGAGAAUGCACUCUUAGGCAGACAGGGAUGUUGUGGUGACUGUGGCAGGAGAAACAAAUGCAAAUUCCUCCUAGUGUUCCACAACAGCCUCCCAGUCGUCACUUUAUGCAUCCUGCUCCUGGCCAAGCAUCUCACAUCCAGCUAGAUUUGUCAGCUGUAAGGGAGCCAAGAACCAUGGGAGGUCAGAAGCUGGGCACAGCUAGACUGUUUGGAACCCAGCUGGUGUCUACCUAUCAGGUGAUGGAUUACAUAUCACUGGUCUCAUGCCUUCACAAAUAAAUCUACCAACAAGGACUUGUUGAGCACCUUCUUUUGGGACCUACAGUGUGCCAGGUGACUGGAGGGCAGCAACCAGAUAGCAAUGUGGCUGCUCUCAGGGGUGAGUUGUUAUUGUUUUGUUUGCUUUUUCUGCAGGAGCCAAAACUCAGGCUUGUUAAGUGGUAAUUGACAGUCCUUCUAAGGAAGUUUCUCUUGGAUUUGCUGCCAAUAGGAAGAGAAUUAUUUCUCAGAGCACUAUAGCAUUCAUUUAUCGAGUGCUCACUCAAUUAUGAGGCAUGACAGAGUUUGCCACCUAAAAGAGGAAAGACCACUUAAUGAUUCCUAGAGUCAAAAGUCAGGAAUAAAUGGAUAGACAGAUCAAAGAGUUAAGGGGAUUCUAUUGUAAUUGGAGAAGCACUUUUAGCAGGAGCCAGGUCUUCCACUGAGAUCUUAAAGGAGCUCUUGAAUGAGUUGUGUGUGAGGGAAAGUAUGCUUUUGAACAUAAAGAAAUAGUGAUUUGGCCAGGUGCGGUGGCUCACGCCUGUAAUCCCAGCACUUUGGGAGGCUGAGGCGGGCAGAUCACCUGAGGUCGGAGUUUGAGACCAGCCUGACCAGCGUGGCAAAACCCCCUCUCUACUAAAAAUACUAAAAUUAGCCAGGCGUGGUGGUGGGCACCUGUAAUACCAACUACUCAGGAAGCUGAGGCAGGAGAAUCGCUUGAAACUGGGAGGUGGAGGUUGCAGUGAGCUGAGAUCGCACCAUUGCACUCCAGCCUGGGUAAUAGAGCAAGACUCCGUCUCAAAAAA
RNAcentral lists this long non-coding RNA (8353 nucleotides) under Homo sapiens (human). Its description in RNAcentral is "non-protein coding VLDLR-AS1:21". The record is from RNAcentral. Lineage: Eukaryota; Metazoa; Chordata; Mammalia; Primates; Hominidae.